This 168-nucleotide ribosomal RNA is filed under the name Arabidopsis thaliana (thale cress). RNAcentral describes it as "5.8S ribosomal RNA". It matches the Rfam family "5.8S ribosomal RNA". Rfam says of the family: 5.8S ribosomal RNA (5.8S rRNA) is a component of the large subunit of the eukaryotic ribosome. It is transcribed by RNA polymerase I as part of the 45S precursor that also contains 18S and 28S rRNA. Functionally, it is thought that 5.8S rRNA may be involved in ribosome translocation. The record is from RNAcentral. Lineage: Eukaryota; Viridiplantae; Streptophyta; Magnoliopsida; Brassicales; Brassicaceae.
AAAACGACUCUCGGCAACGGAUAUCUCGGCUCUCUCUCGCAUCGAUGAAGAACGUAGCGAAAUGCGAUACUUGGUGUGAAUUGCAGUAUCCCGUGAACCAUCGAGUCUUUGAACGCAAGUUGCGCCCCAAGCCUUCUGGCCGAGGGCACGUCUGCCUGGGUGUCACAA